CCAAGCUACUAAGGGCACACGAUGAAUGCCUUGGCACUGAGAGGCGAUGAAGGACGUAGCUACCUGCGAUAAGCCACGGGCUGCUGGAAGCAAGCUCAUCCGUGGAUUUCCGAAUGGGGCAACCCCGCCGGGCAAACCCCGGCGAUCGACCGCUGAAUACAUAGGCGGCCGAAGCCAACCGAGAGAACUGAAACAUCUUAGUACCUCGAGGAAGAGAAAGCAAAAAGCGAUUCCGCUAGUAGUGGCGAGCGAACGCGGAACAGCCCAAACCCUACGUACGUGAUAGGUCGUAUCCGUUGUGCGUAGGGGGUUGUGGGGCGGACAGUCGGGGCAAUACGAGGCCCCGGGAAGGUUACAAAUCUUGCCGUUAGCUGAAGACCGCUGGGUAAGCGGCACCAUAGACGGUGAUAGUCCGGUAAGCGAAAACGACAGGACCUUCUUUGUUCGUUCCCAAGUAAUGCGGGUCACGUGGAACCCCGCGUGAAUCAGGGAGGCCCAUCUCCUAAGGCUAAAUACUACUCAGUGACCGAUAGUGAACCAGUACCGUGAGGGAAAGGUGAAAAGAACCCCGAAGGGGGAGUGAAAUAGUACCUGAAAUCGUGUGCUUACAAUCAGUGGGAGGACGAUGGCUUCGGCCCGUCUGACCGCGUGCCUUUUGCAUAAUGAGUCUGCGACUUACUCUGUGUAGCGAGGCUAAGGGCUUAUGGUCCGGAGCCGCAGCGAAAGCGAGUCCGAACAGGGCGUUUAGUUGCACGGAGUAGACCCGAAACCGGGUGAUCUAUCCAUGGCCAGGGUAAAGUUCCCGUAAAAGGGAAUGGAGGCCCGAACCAGUGGCAGUUGAAAAUGCUUUGGAUGAGCUGUGGAUAGGGGUGAAAGGCCAAUCAAACUCGGAUAUAGCUGGUUCUCCCCGAAAUAUAUUUAGGUAUAGCGUCGCACGGUAGCAAACGGGGGUAGAGCACUGAAUGGGCUAGGGGUCCUACCAGAUUACUGAACCCAAUCAAACUCCGAAUACCGUUUGUGGAACUGCGGCAGUCAGACUGCGGGGGAUAAGCUCCGUAGUCGAGAGGAAAAGAAUCCAGACCGUCAGCUAAGGUCCCAAAGAUACGCUAAGUGGGAAACGAUGUGUAAUUGCCCAGACAACCAGGAUGUUGGCUUAGAAGCAGCCAUUCAUUCAAAGAGUGCGUAACAGCUCACUGGUCGAGUGAUUAUGCGCGGAAGAUGUACCGGGGCUAAGCGUAACACCGAAGCUACGGCUUCUGAUCGUAAGAUCAGAGGGGUAGGGGAGCAUUCUGUACCGGGAUAAAGCAUGACCGUGAGGACAUGUGAACUGUACAGAAGUGAUCAUGCAGACAUUAGUAACGACAAGACAGGUGAGAAACCUGUCCGCCGUAAACCCAAGGUUUCCCGGGCCAGGGUAAUCCGCCCGGGGUUAGUCGGAACCUAAGCCGAGGCCGAGAGGCGUAGGCGAUGGAAAACAGGCACAAAGAUUCCUGUACCACCGCGUCACCGUUUGAGCGAUGGGGCGACGCAGGAGGAUAAGGCACCCGUCAAUCGGCAUUCGCAAGAUGAUGGCGGGCUAAGCGCGCGGGAGGCAGCCCCGGCAAAUCCAGGCUGCAAUACUCCGAGGCGUUAAGGGACGCAAAGACUUCGGUUAAUGCGGAUUGUCUGAUUCCACACUGCCUAGAAAACCCUCUAGCGAGGAGGCCGGUGUCCGUACCGUAAACCGACACAGGUGGGUGAGAAGAGUAUUCUAAGGCGCUCGGGAGAACCACUCUUAAGGAACUCGACCAAUUGGCCCCGUAACUUCGGAAGAAGGGGUGCUCCGGCCGGUGAAGGGCUUGCCCCGUAAGCUGGUUGGAGUUGCAACAAAGAGGCUCAGGCGACUGUUUAACAAAAACACAGGUCUCUGCUAAGUCGUAAGACAAUGUAUAGGGACUGACGCCUGCCCAAUGCCGGAAGGUUAACGGGAGGAGUUAGCAUAAUUCGUUGUGCGAAGCUCUGAACCGAAGCCCUGGUUAAUGGCGGCCGUAACUAUAACGGUCCUAAGGUAGCGAAAUUCCUUGUCGGGUAAG
This 2072-nucleotide ribosomal RNA is filed under the name bioreactor sludge metagenome. Its description in RNAcentral is "bacterial LSU rRNA". It matches the Rfam family "Bacterial large subunit ribosomal RNA", at positions 3 to 1980 of the family's 2925-position model. The record is from RNAcentral.